This 200-nucleotide long non-coding RNA is filed under the name Elaeis guineensis (African oil palm). RNAcentral describes it as "long non-coding RNA (EGUI_LNC026386)". Lineage: Eukaryota; Viridiplantae; Streptophyta; Magnoliopsida; Arecales; Arecaceae. The record is from RNAcentral.
CCCAUUGACAAACCUAAGCACAACAGCUUCAACAUAUGCACAGAAAUUUCUUUGAAAAAUAUGGUGGGAAUUGCCCACUUUGAGAUUGAACCUGCAACCUCUUCCCCAAUCUAGGUAGGUGCCGUGGGGUAAGGAUAAAAAUGCAUAUGCUAAGGCUUGUCUCAUAAUAUAGAAGAUAAAAAAAAGACCUUAUUGCGGCC